This 460-nucleotide ribosomal RNA is filed under the name uncultured bacterium. Its description in RNAcentral is "partial 16S ribosomal RNA". It matches the Rfam family "Bacterial small subunit ribosomal RNA", at positions 338 to 795 of the family's 1533-position model. The record is from RNAcentral.
CCUACGGGUGGCAGCAGUGAGGAAUAUUGGUCAAUGGGCGUAAGCCUGAACCAGCCAAGUCGCGUGAGGGAUGAAGGUUCUAUGGAUCGUAAACCUCUUUUAUAAGGGAAUAAAGUGUGGGACGUGUCCUAUUUUGUAUGUACCUUAUGAAUAAGGAUUGGCUAACUCCGUGCCAGCAGCCGCGGUAAUACGGAGGAUCCGAGCGUUAUCCGGAUUUAUUGGGGUUAAAGGGUGCGUAGGCGGCCUUUUAAGUCAGCGGUGAAAGUUUGUGGCGCAACCAUAGAAUUGCCGUUGAAACUGGGGAGCUUGAGUAUGUUUGAGGGAGGCGGAAUGCGUGGUGUAGCGGUGAAAUGCUUAGAUAUCACGCAGAACCCCGAUUGCGAAGGCAGCCUGCCAGGGCAUGACUGACGCUGAUGCACGAAAGCGUGGGGAUCAAACAGGAUUAGAUACCCUUGUAGUC